AAGUACAGACCUCCGGAACGAAUUAAGUACUUAACCUUAGGUACCACUGUAUUAGAUUUCCAGACUGCAACUUCCUCAGGGACUGAAAGUAUUGGUGGUUGUGGGAGUAACCCCAUAUAGAAGAGGUACAGUGGUACCUCAGGUUAAGCACUUAAUUCGUUCCGGAG
Podarcis lilfordi (Lilford's wall lizard) is the source of this 167-nucleotide non-coding RNA. NCBI's taxonomy places the organism in Eukaryota, Metazoa, Chordata, Lepidosauria, Squamata, Lacertidae. The record is from the annotation of a GenBank genome assembly.